RNAcentral lists this ribosomal RNA (497 nucleotides) under uncultured bacterium. RNAcentral describes it as "partial 16S ribosomal RNA". It matches the Rfam family "Bacterial small subunit ribosomal RNA", at positions 28 to 507 of the family's 1533-position model. The record is from RNAcentral.
GAUGAACGCUGGCGGCGUGCCUAAUACAUGCAAGUCGAGCGAACAGACGAGGAGCUUGCUCCUCUGACGUUAGCGGCGGACGGGUGAGUAACACGUGGAUAACCUACCUAUAAGACUGGGAUAACUUCGGGAAACCGGAGCUAAUACCGGAUAAUAUAUUGAACCGCAUGGUUCAAUAGUGAAAGACGGUUUUGCUGUCACUUAUAGAUGGAUCCGCGCCGCAUUAGCUAGUUGGUAAGGUAACGGCUUACCAAGGCGACGAUGCGUAGCCGACCUGAGAGGGUGAUCGGCCACACUGGAACUGAGACACGGUCCAGACUCCUACGGGAGGCAGCAGUAGGGAAUCUUCCGCAAUGGGCGAAAGCCUGACGGAGCAACGCCGCGUGAGUGAUGAAGGUCUUCGGAUCGUAAAACUCUGUUAUUAGGGAAGAACAAAUGUGUAAGUAACUAUGCACGUCUUGACGGUACCUAAUCAGAAAGCCACGGCUAACUAAGUG